AGAGUUUGAUCCUGGCUCAGAUUGAACGCUGGCGGCGUGCCUAACACAUGCAAGUCGAGCGGUAACAGGUGUAGCAAUACAUGCUGACGAGCGGCGAACGGGUGAGUAAUACUUUGGAAUCUUCCCAGUAGUGGGGAAUAACCAGUCGAAAGAUUGGCUAAUACCGCAUACGUCCCUUUUUCGAAAGAAGGAGGGGGAAAGCAGGGGACCGUAAGGCCUUGCGCUAUUGGAUGAGCCAAAGUCGGAUUAGCUAGUUGGUAGGGUAAUGGCCUACCAAGGCGACGAUCCGUAGCUGGUCUGAGAGGACGACCAGCCACACCGGAACUGAGACACGGUCCGGACUCCUACGGGAGGCAGCAGUGGGGAAUAUUGGACAAUGGGGGAAACCCUGAUCCAGCGACGCCGCGUGUGUGAAGAAGGCCUGCGGGUUGUAAAGCACUUUUAGUGGGGACAAAAAGCUACGGACUAAUACUCUGUGGUCUUGAUUUAACCCACAGAAAAAGCACCGGCUAACUCUGUGCCAGCAGCCGCGGUAAUACAGAGGGUGCGAGCGUUAAUCGGAAUUACUGGGCGUAAAGCGCGCGUAGACGGUUUUGUAAGUCGGAUGUGAAAUCCCUGGGCUCAACCUGGGAACUGCGUUCGAGACUGCAUGGCUAGAGUACGGUAGAGGGAAGCGGAAUUUCCGGUGUAGCGGUGAAAUGCGUAGAUAUCGGAAGGAACACCAGUGGCGAAAGCGGCUUCCUGGACCAGUACUGACGUUCAUGUGCGAAAGCGUGGGGAGCAAACAGGAUUAGAUACCCUAGUAGUCC
RNAcentral lists this ribosomal RNA (809 nucleotides) under uncultured bacterium. RNAcentral describes it as "bacterial SSU rRNA". It matches the Rfam family "Bacterial small subunit ribosomal RNA", at positions 8 to 796 of the family's 1533-position model. The record is from RNAcentral.